GAUGAACGCUGGCGGCGUGCCUAAUACAUGCAAGUCGAGCGAACAGACGAGGAGCUUGCUCCUUUGACGUUAGCGGCGGACGGGUGAGUAACACGUAGGUAACCUACCUAUAAGACUGGGAUAACUUCGGGAAACCGGAGCUAAUACCGGAUAAUAUUUCGAACCGCAUGGUUCGAUAGUGAAAGAUGGCUUUGCUAUCACUUAUAGAUGGACCUGCGCCGUAUUAGCUAGUUGGUAAGGUAACGGCUUACCAAGGCAACGAUACGUAGCCGACCUGAGAGGGUGAUCGGCCACACUGGAGCUGAGACACGGUCCAGACUCCUACGGGAGGCAGCAGUAGGGAAUCUUCCGCAAUGGGCGAAAGCCUGACGGAGCAACGCCGCGUGAGUGAUGAAGGUCUUCGGAUCGUAAAACUCUGUUAUUAGGGAAGAACAAACGUGUAAGUAACUGUGCACGUCUUGACGGUACCUAAUCAGAAAGCCACGGCUAACUACGU
Molecule: ribosomal RNA, 496 nt
Filed under: uncultured bacterium
Lineage: Bacteria
Description: partial 16S ribosomal RNA
Rfam family: Bacterial small subunit ribosomal RNA
Source: RNAcentral